This 253-nucleotide ribosomal RNA is filed under the name uncultured bacterium. RNAcentral describes it as "partial 16S ribosomal RNA". It matches the Rfam family "Bacterial small subunit ribosomal RNA", at positions 524 to 776 of the family's 1533-position model. The record is from RNAcentral.
UACGGGGGGGGCAAGCGUUGUUCGGAAUUACUGGGCGUAAAGGGCUCGUAGGUGGCCAACUAAGUCAGACGUGAAAUCCCUCGGCUUAACCGGGGAACUGCGUCUGAUACUGGAUGGCUUGAGAUUGGGAGAGGGAUGCGGAAUUCCAGGUGUAGCGGUGAAAUGCGUAGAUAUCUGGAGGAACACCGGUGGCGAAGGCGGGUCUCUGGGCAGUAACUGACGCUGAGGAGCGAAAGCGUGGGGAGCGAACAGG